AGUGAACGCUGGCGGCGUGCCUAAUACAUGCAAGUCGAACGAACGAAUAAGAGCUUGCUCUUAUAAGUUAGUGGCGCACGGGUGAGUAAUAUAUAGCUAAUCUGCCUCUUAGUAGAGGAUAACAGUCGGAAACGAUUGCUAAUACUCUAUACUUCUGCUUUACAUAAGUAAAGUAGAGAAAGUUUUUCGCUAAGAGAUGAGGCUAUACUGUAUCAGCUAGUUGGUAAGGUAACGGCUUACCAAGGCUAUGACGCAUAACUGGUCUGAGAGGAUGAUCAGUCACAUUGGAACUGAGACACGGUCCAAACUCCUACGGGAGGCAGCAGUAGGGAAGAUUGCGCAAUGGGGGAAACCCUGACGCAGCAACGCCGCGUGGAGGAUGACACUUUUCGGAGCGUAAACUCCUUUUAUCGGGAAAGAAUAAUGACGGUACCCGAUGAAUAAGCACCGGCUAACUCCGUG
This 462-nucleotide ribosomal RNA is filed under the name uncultured bacterium. RNAcentral's name for it is "partial 16S ribosomal RNA". It matches the Rfam family "Bacterial small subunit ribosomal RNA", at positions 29 to 507 of the family's 1533-position model. The record is from RNAcentral.